RNAcentral lists this ribosomal RNA (310 nucleotides) under uncultured bacterium. RNAcentral describes it as "partial 16S ribosomal RNA". It matches the Rfam family "Bacterial small subunit ribosomal RNA", at positions 503 to 807 of the family's 1533-position model. The record is from RNAcentral.
AAGAGACAGCAGUAGCCACGGUAAAACGUAGGGUGCAAGCGUUAAUCGGAAUUACUGGGCGUAAAGCGUGCGCAGGCGGUUAUAUAAGACAGAUGUGAAAUCCCCGGGCUCAACCUGGGAACUGCAUUUGUGACUGUAUAGCUAGAGUACGGCAGAGGGGGAUGGAAUUCCGCGUGUAGCAGUGAAAUGCGUAGAUAUGCGGAGGAACACCGAUGGCGAAGGCAAUCCCCUGGGCCUGUACUGACGCUCAUGCACGAAAGCGUGGGGAGCAAACAGGAUUAGAUACCCGGGUAGUCCCUGUCUCUUAUAC